AUUGCCCUAGUAACGGCGAGUGAAGCGGCAACAGCUCAAAUUUGAAAUCUGGCCCUCGGGUCCGAGUUGUAAUUUGUAGAGGAUGAUUUUGGUUAGGUACCUUCCGAGUUCCUUGGAACAGGACGCCUUAGAGGGUGAGAGCCCCGUACGGUUGGAUGCCGAGCCUCUGUAAAUCUCCUUCGACGAGUCGAGUAGUUUGGGAAUGCUGCUCUAAAUGGGAGGUAAAUUUCUUCUAAAGCUAAAUACCGGCCAGAGACCGAUAGCGCACAAGUAGAGUGAUCGAAAGAUGAAAAGCACUUUGAAAAGAGGGUUAAAUAGUACGUGAAAUUGUUGAAAGGGAAGGGCUUGUGACCAGACCUUUGCCUUGCGGAUCAUCCGGUGUUCUCACCGGUGCACUCCGCUUGGUUGAGGCCAGCAUCAGUUUCGGCGGCGGGAUAAAGACUUCAGGAACGUGACUCCCCCGGGAGUGUUAUAGCCUGCUGUGUAAUACCGCCGCUGGGACUGAGGACCGCGCUUCGGCUAGGAUGCUGGCAUAAUGGUCAUCAGCCACCCGUCUUGAAACACGGACCAAGGAGUCGAACAUUUAUGCGAGUUUUUGGGUGUUAAACCCUCAAGCGUAAUGAAAGUGAACGGAGGUGAGAGCCCUUACGGGCGCAUCAUCGACCGAUCCUGAUGUCUUCGGAUGGAUUUGAGUAAGAGCAUAACUGUUCGGACCCGAAAGAUGGUGAACUAUGCGUGGAUAGGGUGAAGCCAGAGGAAACUCUGGUGGAGGCUCGCAGCGGUUCUGACGUGCAAAUCGAUCGUCAAAUCUGCGCAU
Molecule: ribosomal RNA, 817 nt
Filed under: Microdochium seminicola
Lineage: Eukaryota; Fungi; Ascomycota; Sordariomycetes; Xylariales; Microdochiaceae
Description: partial large subunit ribosomal RNA
Rfam family: Eukaryotic large subunit ribosomal RNA
Source: RNAcentral